This 524-nucleotide ribosomal RNA is filed under the name uncultured bacterium. Its description in RNAcentral is "partial 16S ribosomal RNA". It matches the Rfam family "Bacterial small subunit ribosomal RNA", at positions 28 to 523 of the family's 1533-position model. The record is from RNAcentral.
GACGAACGCUGGCGGCGUGCCUAAUACAUGCAAGUCGAGCGCAGGAAACUGACGGAACUCUUCGGAGGGAAGGCAGUGGAAUGAGCGGCGGACGGGUGAGUAACACGUAAGGAACCUGCCUCAAGGAUUGGGAUAACUCCGAGAAAUCGGAGCUAAUACCGGAUAGUUCAACGGACCGCAUGGUCCGCUGAUGAAAGGCGCUUCGGCGUCACCUUGAGAUGGCCUUGCGGUGCAUUAGCUAGUUGGUGGGGUAACGGCCCGCCAAAGCGACGAUGCAUAGCCGACCUGAGGGGGUGAUCGGCCACACUGGGACUGAGACACGGCCCCGACUCCUACGGGAGGCAGCAGUAGGGAAUCUUCCACAAUGGACGAAAGUCUGAUGGAGCAACGCCGCGUGAGUGAUGAAGGUUUUCGGAUCGUAAAACUCUGUUGUAAGGGAAGAACACGUACGAGAGGAAAUGCUCGUACCUUGACGGUACCUUACGAGAAAGCCACGGCUAACUACGUGCCAGCCGCCGCAGUAA